Molecule: non-coding RNA, 201 nt
Organism: Pelobates cultripes (western spadefoot toad)
Lineage: Eukaryota; Metazoa; Chordata; Amphibia; Anura; Pelobatidae
Source: the annotation of a GenBank genome assembly
CCCAAGCCCACAUUCCGGAGCUGCUCCUACAUUUGUGGCUGCAGUAAAGGACCAGGACAGAAGAACUCCACAAUGUCGAUUCCGUAGUGUUGUUCUUAUUUCUCACUUGUUUCCCUACGUAAACCCAAUAGGUCUAGCCAGAAAGAUGGUCCAGUAGAAUAUCUUCUGCUAUGAACCAGGACAACAAAAAGGAAGGAAAGC